Molecule: ribosomal RNA, 120 nt
Filed under: uncultured bacterium
Lineage: Bacteria
Description: partial 16S ribosomal RNA
Rfam family: Bacterial small subunit ribosomal RNA
Source: RNAcentral
CACGCCGUAAACGAUGAAUGCCAGUCGUCGGGUAGCAUGCUAUUCGGUGACACACCUAACGGAUUAAGCAUUCCGCCUGGGGAGUACGGUCGCAAGAUUAAAACUCAAAGGAAUUGACGG